Molecule: unclassified non-coding RNA, 428 nt
Filed under: Hevea brasiliensis (rubber tree)
Lineage: Eukaryota; Viridiplantae; Streptophyta; Magnoliopsida; Malpighiales; Euphorbiaceae
Source: RNAcentral
GAACAAAUCUUGUUCAAGCAAUGACGAAAGCGGGAAAAAAGAAGGGCUCUUCUUUCUUGUUCCAUUCUUGCCACCUAUUACACGUAAACUCUCAUUUUGACAGAUCUCUUCAGCUUCUUCUUCUGCUUCCUCUUCCCAUCUCUCCUCUUCACAGUAAAGAGAAGAGUCUAGCAAGAAAGAAGAGCUUUGUUGUUCAUCAUGGUGUUGGAUAGCCAUCUUCUUCUGAGGGAAGAAGAGGGUCUUGGUCCACUACUCAUUAUACAAAAGAAAAGCUCAUUGUUCUUUCUCUUUCUCUGUGUAUGUUUCAGUGUGGGGAUGGUGCAGAUAGAAAGUGGUGGUGGACUGGAGGCUAAGAGAGAAGAGGUUGAAAGCAGAGGAAGAAAGGAAAAGGAGAGAAUUGAUUUUUAACAGAGUGGGUUUCACGCUUG